CAGGGACCGAUGCAAGUGUGGCCGAAUUCGGCCGAAAACGGCCGAAAAUGGCCAACUCGAGGUGGAUCGCCGCUGCAAGCGGCGACACCGUCGCCGGAGCAUGGCAGAGCCGCCAUGCUGGAAUUUUGAUAUUGGCCGAAAGGGGUCCUAGGUCUGAUUUGAUAUUUUUGGGACACGUGCAGGUACUGGUAGUGCGUUUAAGUUUUUUCAGAAAAAAUUCAGGAAAAUUAGGGACAGCUUGUAGGCGCACUGUAGAGUCGAAUUCAGACCCUGAAACAGGUAAGGAUCUCUCACCCUAUUUUCUAUCACGGUAUUAAAGCUUAAUAAAUAAUUAAACGGUAUUUUGAGACU
RNAcentral lists this long non-coding RNA (351 nucleotides) under Carica papaya (papaya). RNAcentral describes it as "long non-coding RNA (CPAP_LNC007006)". The record is from RNAcentral. Lineage: Eukaryota; Viridiplantae; Streptophyta; Magnoliopsida; Brassicales; Caricaceae.